UUAAAAUUCAGACUCCUCUUGGGGUUUCUUGUCCUAAUUGAGCUCGAGAGUCCUAGGGGCCAACGUCUACUUGAUUUUAUUAGGUCAUGGUCAUGCAAAAUGCAAAUUGGGUUGUUUGUGGGCCAAGGAAGGGUGAUGAAAUUCCCACCUUAUCUUGUUACAGGUUGUGCCCUUAAUGUUAGAUUAAAGAUGAAAAUGCACAAAUAAAAAAAACUAUAAACAAAUAAAAUGUCC
RNAcentral lists this long non-coding RNA (234 nucleotides) under Panax ginseng (ginseng). RNAcentral's name for it is "long non-coding RNA (PGIN_LNC015646)". The record is from RNAcentral. Lineage: Eukaryota; Viridiplantae; Streptophyta; Magnoliopsida; Apiales; Araliaceae.